GACGAACGCUGGCGGCGUGCCUAAUACAUGCAAGUUGAGCGCUGAAGGUUGGUACUUGUACCAACUGGAUGAGCAGCGAACGGGUGAGUAACGCGUGGGGAAUCUGCCUUUGAGCGGGGGACAACAUUUGGAAACGAAUGCUAAUACCGCAUAAAAACUUUAAACACAAGUUUUAAGUUUGAAAGAUGCAAUUGCAUCACUCAAAGAUGAUCCCGCGUUGUAUUAGCUAGUUGGUGAGGUAAAGGCUCACCAAGGCGAUGAUACAUAGCCGACCUGAGAGGGAGAGCGGCCGCAAUGGGACAGUCACACGGACUAGACGCCAUCGGGAGCGAGCAGUAGGGAGUAUGUGGAGAUGGACGACAGUUUGACAGAGUAACGCGGCGUGAGAGAAGAUGGUUUUGGGAUAAUAAAACUCUGUUGGUAGAGAAGAACGUUGGUGAGGGUGGAAAGCUCAUCAAGUGACGGUAACGACCCAGAAAGAAAGGACUCGCUACGUG
This 497-nucleotide ribosomal RNA is filed under the name uncultured bacterium. Its description in RNAcentral is "partial 16S ribosomal RNA". It matches the Rfam family "Bacterial small subunit ribosomal RNA", at positions 28 to 507 of the family's 1533-position model. The record is from RNAcentral.